CUACGGGACGCAGCAGUGGGGAAUAUUGCACAAUGGAGGAAACUCUGAUGCAGCAACGCCGCGUGGAGGAUGACACAUUUCGGUGCGUAAACUCCUUUUAUAUAAGAAGAUGAUGACGGUAUUAUAUGAAUAAGCACCGGCUAACUCCGUGCCAGCAGCCGCGGUAAUACGGGGGGUGCAAGCGUUACUCGGAAUCACUGGGCGUAAAGCGGGCGCAGGCGGGUAGAUAAGUUGGAAGUGAAAUCCUAUGGCUUAACCAUAGAACUGCUUCCAAAACUGUUUACCUAGAAUAUGGGAGAGGUAGAUGGAAUUUCUGGUGUAGGGGUAAAAUCCGUAGAGAUCAGAAGGAAUACCGAUUGCGAAGGCGAUCUACUGGAACAUUAUUGACGCUGAGGCUCGAAAGCGUGGGGAGCAAACAGGAUUAGAUACCCUCGUAGUC
Molecule: ribosomal RNA, 439 nt
Filed under: uncultured bacterium
Lineage: Bacteria
Description: partial 16S ribosomal RNA
Rfam family: Bacterial small subunit ribosomal RNA
Source: RNAcentral